AAUAUCGCGCUUUAAAUACACACACGUUUCGUCACAUACGGCUGGGUCCCAUGAGGGUGCUGUAUGGGGGACGUGGAGGCCUAAC
RNAcentral lists this small RNA (85 nucleotides) under Legionella nautarum. RNAcentral's name for it is "t44 RNA". It matches the Rfam family "t44 RNA". Rfam says of the family: This family consists of a number of bacterial RNA genes of between 135 and 170 bases in length. Lineage: Bacteria; Pseudomonadati; Pseudomonadota; Gammaproteobacteria; Legionellales; Legionellaceae. The record is from Rfam by way of RNAcentral.